UCAGGUGACUAUAGCAUCAGGGUUCCACCUCUUCCCAUUCCGAACAGAGAAGUUAAGCCUGAUUACGCCGAUGGUACUGCGUAACAGUGGGAGAGUAGGUAGUCGCCGUUU
RNAcentral lists this ribosomal RNA (111 nucleotides) under Bacteroides fragilis. Lineage: Bacteria; Pseudomonadati; Bacteroidota; Bacteroidia; Bacteroidales; Bacteroidaceae. The record is from RNAcentral.